CUGGCUCAGGAUGAACGCUGGCGGCGUGCCUAACACAUGCAAGUCGAACGAAGCUUACUUGUUAGCUUGCUAAUGGGUAAGACUGAGUGGCGGACGGGUGAGUAACACGUGGGUAACCUACCUGGAAGACUGGGAUAACAGCUCGAAAGGGCUGCUAAUACCGGAUAAAGUGCCUUUGGAAUAAUUUAUGGGCACCAAAGCGUUAAGUAGUGCUUUCAGAUGGGCCCGCGGCCCAUUAGUUAGUUGGUGGGGUAAUGGCCUACCAAGGCGAUGAUGGGUAGCUGGUCUGAGAGGAUGGACAGCCACACUGGGACUGAGAACGGCCCAGACUCCUACGGGAGGCAGCAGUGGGGAAUAUUGCGCAAUGGGGGCAACCCUGACGCAGCGACGUCGUGUGAGUGAAGAAGGCUUUCGGGUUGUAAAGCUCUGUCUACGGGGAAGAUAAUGACGGUACCCGUGGAGGAAGCCCCGGCUAACUACGUGCCAGCAGCCGCGGUAAGACGUAGGGGGCGAGCGUUGUCCGGAAUUACUGGGCGUAAAGGGCGUGUAGGCGGCCCUGCAAGUCGAUGGUGAAAUUCCCCGGCUCAACUGGGGGCUUGCUGUUGAAACUGUA
This 613-nucleotide ribosomal RNA is filed under the name uncultured low G+C Gram-positive bacterium. RNAcentral describes it as "bacterial SSU rRNA". It matches the Rfam family "Bacterial small subunit ribosomal RNA", at positions 19 to 637 of the family's 1533-position model. The record is from RNAcentral. Lineage: Bacteria; Bacillati; Bacillota.